CCUACGGGAGGCGGCAGUGGGGAAUUUUGGACAAUGGGCGCAAGCCUGAUCCAGCCAUGCCGCGUGAGUGAAGAAGGCCUUCGGGUUGUAAAGCUCUUUCGGCAGGAACGAAAUGGUUCGUGCUAAUACCACGGACUGAUGACGGUACCUGAAGAAGAGGCACCGGCUAACUACGUGCCAGCAGCCGCGGUAAUACGUAGGGUGCAGGCGUUAAUCGGAAUUACUGGGCGUAAAGCGUGCGCAGGCGGUUUCUUAAGUCAGAUGUGAAAGCCCCGGGCUUAACCUGGGAACUGCGUUUGAAACUGGGAGACUUGAGUGUGGCAGAGGGGGGUGGAAUUCCACGUGUAGCAGUGAAAUGCGUAGAUAUGUGGAGGAACACCGAUGGCGAAGGCAGCCCCCUGGGCUAGCACUGACGCUCAUGCACGAAAGCGUGGGGAGCAAACAGGAUUAGAUACCCUGGUAGUCCACGCCCUAAACUAUGUCAACUGGUUGUCGGGAGAUUAACUCUCUUGGUAACGAAGCUAACGCGUGAAGUUGACCGCCUGGGGAGUACGGCCGCAAGGUUAAACUUAAAGUUGAAAUUGACGG
RNAcentral lists this ribosomal RNA (588 nucleotides) under uncultured bacterium. Its description in RNAcentral is "bacterial SSU rRNA". It matches the Rfam family "Bacterial small subunit ribosomal RNA", at positions 338 to 916 of the family's 1533-position model. The record is from RNAcentral.